This 3388-nucleotide long non-coding RNA is filed under the name Sus scrofa (pig). RNAcentral describes it as "lncRNA (ENSSSCG00000063474.1)". The record is from RNAcentral. Lineage: Eukaryota; Metazoa; Chordata; Mammalia; Artiodactyla; Suidae.
AGGCAGGGACGCGCGCUGCUCUCGCCGCCGUCGCCUCGUCGCCUGCCUGCGCGGGGACGAGGCUGUGCCGCCACGUGCGGAAGCCUGGCCGGGCGGGGAGGGCAGUCCCCCGCUGCCAGCGCCUAUAAAAUCCCACCCUGACGCCCGGCGGCAGAGCAGGGCGACGCCGCCGCGGCCCGGGACUCCGGUCUGCCUCCCGCGCGAUCGCCUCUCCGCCCCGGCUGUUCGCAAGACCUGGGACCCGCCGGGAUAACGGCGCCCCGCUCGCCUCACCCCAAGGGCGCCAUGCCUGAGACGCGGGGACACAGGUGGCUGGCUGCUCCGGGGUCUCCGCUGGCUCCUCUAGGGUGAGGGAAGGAGCGGAGGCGACCCGAGUCCGGCGGUCUUGCCCAGGAGCUCCCGGGCCACCCAGCCAGGUGCGCAGUGAACCUGAACCAGGAGGGGGCCGGGGAUGGGGAGGCGAGGCGGGGCUUCGGCUCUAGCUCUCGGGUAGCGGCUUGCGGAGCGACACGGCGGUGCCCGGGGAGGCUUACCUGGGUCUGCACACGCCCGUGCUGGGUGAGAUCCUACCCCGCCCCGCUCGUCCGCACCCCGCUCUCCUGGUCGCUGCGGGGCCACCUGUCCCUCUGGCCUCGAACAUCCCUCCCGCCGUAACCCGGCCGAGUGGGGGACCGAGAGCAGUCCGGGAAGAAGGGCCUCCCCCCUCUACCCGGCCCCGGUAGGCGCCGCCGCCCCUGACCGCACGCGCACGAACCUGUGGCCGCGUCUCCAAGGGACCUGCGUGCCUGGCACCGAGCAGGGGGACCCCUGGGAUCCGGGGCUUCUAACUCCAGGAGGAAGGGGGACUUGGAUGAGGCGACCCACGUGCACGCAGUGCGCGCUGUGUCAGCCUGUCUAGAACCGAAAGGAAACGCCAUGGUCCUCUUUGUUACAACUGGAAGUGAUGCCCACAUGCUUGCGAGGGCUGAGACUGUGCAUCCAAACCGGUAUUUUUUCCCUCUCUUCUUUCCUGCCUCUCUUCUUCAUCUCUCUCCCCUCUUUGUCUCCUCCCCUCACUCUGCCUCCCACCUCUGUCUCCUGUCUGACUUGAUAAAGGUGUAGAUGUGUGAAGGGUUAUGCCCUCAGCUCCUCAUAUUAUAGUUUUAAGAUGUGUCUGAACAGUACUUAUCCAUUGUAGAUGACAUGAAUAAAGCUUUGUGCUGCAAUAUUUGUUUCUGAGAAACCCCUGCAUUUCAAGAGUAUAAAAAACACGUUGAAUAAAUGUUUGAAUAUGUCGUUUAUGUAAAGAUCAGUUACGUUUCAAUUUUAUACAAGUGCAACUUUGAAAUCUGCAGGGCAAACGACUUACUUCCUCACCUCCCCCCCCCAAGCUUUCUGUACCCAAGCUUUCUGAAUUACUUAACCUCUUUCUUCUAUUAACAAAUGCAAUUCUGAAGCAAAGAAAUAUGAAUUCUGGGAAGCAACGUGGCAGGGAGAGGUUUGCUGGGAUGAUAGGCCCUGAAGGAAAAGAUUUUGGAAAUAUGUUGGAUAUUUUCUGUCUUGUAGAUAUAAUUAUUAGCAAUUAAAAGUAUUCAAAAGUGCACUUUGAAUUAUUAAAAAUCUUUCACAUUGUAAAUGUUUCUUUAUACUUUAAAAAAAGUUCUGGAUCACAAAAGGAUAGAUUAUCAUUUGGUAUGCUAAAUCCAGAAUUCUGACUUGAAUUGUAUCUCAUUAUUGUUACACUAGCAAAUGGUCCUACAAACAGCACCCACUCAGGGAACAGGGGUAGUUACAGUAAAUGGUGUAACUAUUACUUCCCACAGGAGGUACAUGCAGAACACAUGGCAGAGAUUGGAAGGAGAAAAUUAUUAUGUUCACCCCUGCUUUUACAGUAUAGCUCCAGAAAUCACUUUUUUUGCCUAUGUCUUUAUUUGUUUGUUCUUUUGUUUACACAUAAAUAACUUUCAUAUUGCUCCUUCGAUCUGGUCUUCUUUCACAAUUCCACAUGUAACAUUCUAACAGGUGACAUUGCUUCUAGCCAAAACUGAUAUUUCAGCUUGUUUACAAACAAAAACCAUGACCACUAAUUCCUCUGUUCAUAUAAUCCAGAUUAAAUACCAAUGUAAAUAUAUAUAUAUCUAAAACAUAGGUAUGUUUUGUAAAAUUGCUUAUUAAUGUUGGCUUAAUCAAAAUCCUUAUAUCUUUAAAAUUCAUCUUACAUCCAAAGACUAGCUUUUUAUUCUCCUUUUUGCUCAUCCAUUCUGUUAGGACUCAGCUGGCAACCUCAGGUAAUCAGGGUUCCAUGAGUCUGGCAAUGUGUAACCAGCUACAGGAACACAUGGAAAGAAAAUAGAGCAAUAGCUUGGACCUUGCAUACUUACAGUCCAGUAGAAAACGCAACAUAAAAGCAACCGGAAUAAAGUCCUGGAGCUCAGCUGUUUGUACUAAUUUUCAUUUGAGCCAGAUUUAAGCCCUAUCUUGAAAGAGGAAGAAGGAUAUUGUUUUAGUUAAGCUCUGCUCUAAAAUUUGGUGCCUUAAAAUGAGUCCAUGUAUUUUAAUAGGCUCAGCUGGGUGGUUCUGCUAGAUGUGAUGUGGGCUGGGGUCUGGGGUUUGAUCAGGCUGGGCCAGCAUGGCUCCUCCUACUGCUGGCAGUUGGCCUUGUCAGCUGAAGAGCAUCUGGGGCUGUCAGUUGGAACUUGAUUUGAAAGAAAAGCAUUUGGUCAUGAUUUAGCAAAUUAGCAAACAGUUUCAAAUUUACUGGUUUAAUGUUUCACAUCUGAAAAGAUAAGCCUGGUGAAAGUCUGUUACUUCUUAAACCAAAAAAAGGGCAUCAGCAACAAUCUCUGGGGUUUGUGUUUUUACCUGAACUCUAUAGAAUCACAAACUAAUAAGCAUUUGUAAAUGCAUAUAGAAACAAAUAAGACUGCAAGUAAAGAUUAAGAAAGAAAUAAUUUUAAGGUUAUAUGAUAGUGUGUUAGCUACAUUUUAAGUAGUUACAUUGAAACUUAACAGUGAAACAACCCCUUGUUUUACUUUGGAUCUUAAUAUGCUGGGGUUUGUUUUUAUUUACAUAUGAGUUUUUCCAAGUUUUUAACAGAAGACACAGACGCUAGACCAUAGAGGUAAUAUAUCUAGAAAUGGAGAUAUAUUCAUCUUUUAUCCAAUACUAAUGGAAUAUAAAAAAAAUUGUUGGAGUUCCCAUCAUGGCACAGUGGUUAAGGAAUCUGACUAGGAACCAUGAGUUUGUGGGUUCAAUCCCUGGCCUCACUCAGUGGAUGAAGGGUCCAGCAUUGCCGUGAGCUUCGGUGUAGGUCGCAGAUGUGGCUCGGAUCCCGAGUUGCUGUGGCUGUGGUGUAGGCCCUCAGCUGCAGCUCCGAUUAGACCCCUAGCCUGGGAACUUCCAUAUGCU